AGGAGAUACACGAUUUAAAUAAUGGAAGAUCCAAUAUUUCACAAUUGUAUCUAGAAUAACUGGAAAAGUGGAAACAAGACCGGAUAUAAUUUUAUCGUUAUGAGCCAAUCCAAAAUCGUUGUAGACCGAACCAAUCAUAAGUUCCCAACCAUGGGUUGAAUGAAAUCCGAUCCAUAAAUCAGUAACUAAAAGAAUUGAAAAAGCUUUUAUUGUGUCACUCAAGUUAUACAGGAAU
This 235-nucleotide unclassified non-coding RNA is filed under the name Hevea brasiliensis (rubber tree). The record is from RNAcentral. Lineage: Eukaryota; Viridiplantae; Streptophyta; Magnoliopsida; Malpighiales; Euphorbiaceae.